This 253-nucleotide ribosomal RNA is filed under the name uncultured bacterium. Its description in RNAcentral is "partial 16S ribosomal RNA". It matches the Rfam family "Bacterial small subunit ribosomal RNA", at positions 524 to 776 of the family's 1533-position model. The record is from RNAcentral.
UACGUAGGGUGCAAGCGUUAAUCGGAAUUACUGGGCGUAAAGCGCGCGUAGGUGGUUUGUUAAGUUGGAUGUGAAAUCCCCGGGCUCAACCUGGGAACUGCAUUCAAAACUGUCAAGCUAGAGUAUGGUAGAGGGUGGUGGAAUUUCCUGUGUAGCGGUGAAAUGCGUAGAUAUAGGAAGGAACACCAGUGGCGAAGGCGACCACCUGGACUGAUACUGACACUGAGGUGCGAAAGCGUGGGGAGCAAACAGG